CUCAAAAAAAAAUAGAUACGAUUGCAUUGCAUGUAGUAACAGAUGCGAUCAUACCAGCACUAAUGCACCGGAUCCCAUCAGAACUCCGUAGUUAAGCGUACUUGGGCGAGAGUAGUACGAGGAUGGGUGACCUCACGGAAAGUCCUCGUGUUGCAUUCCUCUUUUUUCGGUUUUCCUCUAUUUUGUUUUGUUAAAAAUGUAUGACUCUAUAACUUUAAGACCGUGAGGCCAACCUUGACAUGUGAUACCUUUUCGGAAAGCCUAAAGAGAGCUCUCCGAUGAAAGAGGAAGGAAAAUGGAAUUCUUCUAUUGUUUUUUUUUCUUCUCCAAAUUUUGACCUUAAUGUACUUUUUCGAGCCUUUUCGUGAUCUUUGCUAUAGUACGGGGCAAAAAUUAUAUGUUCGGACAUUGUUUUCGAAUAUUUUGUAUCUAUCAAAGCUCUUAUAAACAAGAUAGGGUAUUCCUACAUAGCUGGUGGGACCCAUGGCAAAUGAAUCAUAAAGUCUUCAAAAAAGAAUAGAUACGAUUGCAUUGCAUGUAGUAACAGAUGUGAUCAUACCAGCUCUAAUGCACCGGAUCCCAUCAGAACUCCGAAGUUAAGCCUGAUUGGGCGAGAGUAGUACUAAGAUGGGUGACCUCGAGGAAUGUCCUCGUGUUCCAUCCCUCUUUUUUUCGGUUUUUCUCUAUUUUGUUUUAUUAAAAAUGUAUGACUCUAUAACUUUAAGACCGUGAGGCAAAACUUGACAUGUGAUACCUUUUCGGAAAGCCCAAAGAGAGCUCUCCAAUGAAUGAGGAAGUCUUUUUCUAUUCCAAAUUUUGACCUUAAUGUACUUUUUCGAGUCUUUUCGUGAUCUUUGCUAUAUUACGGGGCGAACAUUAUACGUUCGGACAUUGUUUUCGAAUAUUUUGUAUCUAUCAAAGCUCUUAUAAACAAGAUAGGGUAUUCCUACAUAGCUGGUGGGACCCACGGCAAAUGGAUCAUAAAGUCUUAAAAAAAGAAUAGAUACGAUUGCAUUGCAUGUAGUAACAGAUGCGAUCAUACCAGCACUAAUGCACCGGAUCCCAUCAGAACUCCGCAGUUAAGCGUGCUUGGGCGAGAGUAGUACUAGGAUGGGUGACCUCGAAGAAUGUCCUCGUGUUGCAUCCCUCUUUUUUUCGGUUUUUCUCUUUUUUUGUUUUGUUAAAAAUGUAUGACUUUAUAACUUUUAGACCGUGAGGCCAAACUUGGCAUGCCAUACCUUUUCGGAAAGCCCAAAGAGAGCUCUCCAAUUAAUGAGGAAGGAAAAUGGAAUUCUUCUAUUGUUUUUUUUUUCUACUCCAAAUUUUGACCUUAAUGUACUUUUUCGUGCCUUUUCGUGAUCUUUGCUAUAGUACGGGGUGAAAAUUAUAUGUUCGGACAUUGUUUUCGAAUAUUUUGCAUGUAUCAAAGCUCUAAUAAACAAGAUAGGGUAUUCCUACAUAGCUAGUGR
RNAcentral lists this small RNA (1469 nucleotides) under Arabidopsis thaliana (thale cress). The record is from RNAcentral. Lineage: Eukaryota; Viridiplantae; Streptophyta; Magnoliopsida; Brassicales; Brassicaceae.